CGUGCAGGCGGUUUUCUAAGUCGGACGUGAAAGCUCCUGGCUCAACUGGGAGAGGUCGUUCGAAACUAGGAGGCUUGAGGAUGGUAGAGGAGAGUGGAAUUCCCGGUGUAGUGGUGAAAUGCGUAGAUAUCGGGAGGAACACCAGUGGCGAAGGCGGCUCUCUGGGCCAUUCCUGAGGCUAAGACGCGAAAGCUAGGGGAGAGAACG
RNAcentral lists this ribosomal RNA (207 nucleotides) under uncultured bacterium. RNAcentral describes it as "partial 16S ribosomal RNA". It matches the Rfam family "Bacterial small subunit ribosomal RNA", at positions 568 to 774 of the family's 1533-position model. The record is from RNAcentral.